CUUAGAGAAACGGAGGUAGAGCACUGAAUGUCCUAGGGGGUAUUGCACUUACCGAAGACUAUCAAACUCCGAAUGCCGUAUUCUUUUGCUUGGGAGUCAGACUAUGGGUGAUAAGAUUCAUAGUCAAGAGGGCAACAGCCCAGAUCGUCAGCUAAGGUCCCUAAAUGUAAGUUAAGUGGUAAAGGAUGUGGAAUUGCACAGACAACCAGGAUGUUGGCUUAGAAGCAGCCACUCAUUUAAAGAGUGCGUAAUAGCUCACUGGUCGAGUGAUUCUGCGCCGAAAAUUUCCGGGGCUAAAACUUACUACCGAAGCUACGGCAUCAUUAUGAUGGGUAGGGGAGCUUUCUAUGCGGCUUGAAGCAUGACCGUAAGGACAUGUGGACUGCAUAGAAGUGAGAAUGUUGGCAUGAGUAGCGAGAUGUGGGUGAGAAUCCCACAGGCCGUAAACCCAAGGUUUCCAGGGGAAGGUUCGUCCGCCCUGGGUUAGUCAGGACCUAAGCCGAGGCCGAAAGGCGUAGGUGAUGGACAACAGGUUGAUAUUCCUGUACCACCAAUAACCGUUUGAGAAAUGGGAUGACACAGUAGGAUAAGCUAACCGCACUGUUGGUUAUGUGCGGGCAAGUAUUGAGGCAGUUCCGAUAGGCAAAUCCGUCGGAAUAAUGCUGGGGUACGAUGCGGAGCGAAAUUUAGUAGCGAAGUAGCUGAUUUCACACUGUCGAGAAAAGUCUCUAUCGAGGUUAAAGGUGCCUGUACCGCAAACCGACACAGGUGGGUGAGGAGAGUAUCCUAAGGCCAGCGAGAGAACUGUUGUUAAGGAACUCGGCAAAAUGACCCCGUAACUUCGGGAGAAGGGGUGCCUUCGAAAGAAGGCCGCAGAGAAUAGGCCCAAGCGACUGUUUACCAAAAACAUAGGUUUCUGCUAAGUCGCAAGACGAUGUAUAGGAGCUGACGCCUGCCCGGUGCUGGAAGGUUAAGGGGAUCUGUUAGAGCAAUCGAAGCAGUGAACUUAAGCCCCAGUAAACGGCGGCCGUAACUAUAACGGUCCUAAGGUAGCGAAAUUCCUUGUCGGGUAAGUUCCGACCCGCACGAAAGGCGUAACGAUUUGGGCACUGUCUCAACAACAGACUCGGUGAAAUUGUAAUACCGGUGAAGAUGCCGGUUACCUGCGACAGGACGGAAAGACCCCAUGGAGCUUUACUGUAGCUUGACAUUGAGUCUCGGUGCUACAUGUACAGGAUAGGUGGGAGACUAUGAAGCAUGGACGUCAGUCUGUGUGGAGUCAUCCUUGGGAUACCACCCUUGUAGUACUGGGAUUCUAACCAGAGGCCAUGAAUCUGGUCUUGGGACAAUGUCAGGUGGGCAGUUUGACUGGGGCGGUCGCCUCCGAAAAAGUAACGGAGGCGCUCAAAGGUUCUCUCAGUACGGUCGGAAAUCGUACGAAGAGUGUAAAGGCAAAAGAGAGCUUGAUUGCAAGACAUACAGGUCGAGCAAGGACGAAAGUCGGACUUAGUGAUCCGGUGGUUCCGCAUGGAAGGGCCAUCGCUCAAC
This 1548-nucleotide ribosomal RNA is filed under the name human gut metagenome. RNAcentral's name for it is "bacterial LSU rRNA". It matches the Rfam family "Bacterial large subunit ribosomal RNA", at positions 887 to 2453 of the family's 2925-position model. The record is from RNAcentral.